GCAUCCUUGGUGUAGUGGUAACACACUCCCUAUAUCUACACUUGCUGUUAAGACGUCUGGGAAGGUGCAGGGUUCGAAUCCCUGAGGAUGCA
Molecule: non-coding RNA, 92 nt
Organism: Mycena maculata
Lineage: Eukaryota; Fungi; Basidiomycota; Agaricomycetes; Agaricales; Mycenaceae
Source: the annotation of a GenBank genome assembly